UUACACGAUUUCAAUACAAACAUCAGUCACAAAAGCCCUCCAGAGAUAUGUUUCCAUACAUCAUAAUCUUACAUCUUUUAACAGAGUUUAAGAAUACAAUAUUCGCAUCUUCUGAAGUGGCCUAUCCAUGAUUACACGCUGUUAUUAUUUAGAGAUGAAGAAGUUAUUGAAAUUAAUUGCUUUUUAUUGAAUUCAAAUACGAUUUUAUAUGACAUCGCACACUCUAACUGCUUCAAAUUUUCUAUUCAGUUUCUAAAUUUCAUGUACGAUGCUGUAUGUACUGGCGACAAUGAGAAGUUGUAAGCAUAAAGUUGUUGGUUUGUAUAAGUUAUUAGAGGCUUGCGAUGUAGUUGAAGGGCACGAAAUGGAAAGGACCUGUGAUAGACCCUUGAGAAUCGAUGGCUUCAAUAGCGUUCCAUGGUGAUCGGCGUUUAUCACGCGUGGCUAUUUACUUUUACUGUGUAUAGGGUUUAAUAGCAAGUAAUUUUCCGAAAUAAAAAUUUGACCAGCGUGAAAUAGUUGUAUAGUAAUGAACCAAUGCAUAAUAAUAAGUGAAAAGCUUAUGUGUUUUGUUUUAUUAUAUGUGUUAUUUUAUCAGAUUUCCGCUGGCAAAAGAAGUAGUAGGAUUCCCAUCGGCAGAAGAGCUGAUGAGGCGUGCACGUAAAAGAAUUGUACCACCCCAACCACAAUCACUACAAGAGUUUGACGAGAUGAUGAUUCUUGAUCAGUGGAAAAUUUGGGGGAAGUCUCUAAGUGGUGAACGGUUUUUUCUUAAAACCAUUGUUUCCACCGAUGGUGGGGUGGCCGCUUUAUUUGUCUCACCACAUUUCAAGGAUUUGCUAGGUACAGAAAAUUCUAACGUUCAGGCUGAUGGCACUUUCAAGUCUGUGCCUCUUCAUCCUAGAAGCGAACAACUAUUUACCCUGCACGUGGUAGAUACUGAAAGGCAUGGAGGACUUCAAAAUCAGAUAUACCCUGCAGCUUACGCACUUAUGACGAGAAGGACAACUGAAGCGUACGAAGCCGUUUUACGAGGUUUAAUCGAAGAAGUGCCAACAUUUAAGCCAGCAACUUUAAUGAGCGACUUCGAACCCGCAUUGCGCUCUGCCUUUCGACGUGUUUUUCCAAAUGUAUCAGUGAAAGGAUGUUGGUUUCACUACGCCCAGGCAAUUUUUCGACGCGCGCAACAACUGGGAAUGGCGAGAACCAUCCGCUCUGAAACUGGAGAAACGGCUUUGAAGAUGCUUAUGGCCUUACCGUUACUACCCACAGACAAAAUUAUAUCUGGAGUACAAACAGUGGAAGAAUAUUUGCUGCAG
Molecule: long non-coding RNA, 1319 nt
Organism: Bacillus rossius redtenbacheri
Lineage: Eukaryota; Metazoa; Arthropoda; Insecta; Phasmatodea; Bacillidae
Exons: 3
Source: RefSeq, a predicted model, not a curated record